UACGUAGGGGCCGAGCGUUGUCCGGAGUUAUUGGGCGUAAAGCGCGCGCAGGCGGCUUGGCGCGCCCGACGUGAAAGCCCCCGGCUUAACCGGGGAGGGUCGUCGGGUACGGUCAGGCUUGAGGGCGGGAGAGGGUGGUGGAAUUCCCGGUGUAGUGGUGAAAUGCGUAGAGAUCGGGAGGAACACCUGUGGCGAAGGCGGCCACCUGGGCCGAUACUGACGCUGAGGAGCGAAAGCGUGGGGAGCGAACAGG
RNAcentral lists this ribosomal RNA (253 nucleotides) under uncultured bacterium. RNAcentral describes it as "partial 16S ribosomal RNA". It matches the Rfam family "Bacterial small subunit ribosomal RNA", at positions 524 to 776 of the family's 1533-position model. The record is from RNAcentral.